GUGUACCUACGGGGCGCAGCAGUGGGGAAUAUUGCACAAUGGGCGAAAGCCUGAUGCAGCGACGCCGCGUGAAGGAUGAAGUAUUUCGGUAUGUAAACCUCUAUCAGCAGGGAAGAAAAUGACGGUACCUGACUAAGAAGCCCCGGCUAACUACGUGCCAGCAGCCGCGGUAAUACGUAGGGGGCAAGCGUUAUCCGGAUUUACUGGGUGUAAAGGGAGCGUAGACGGCGAUGCAAGCCAGAUGUGAAAGCCCGGGGCUCAAGCCCGGGACUGCAUUCGGAACUGUGUGGCUGGAGUGUCGGAGG
This 305-nucleotide ribosomal RNA is filed under the name uncultured bacterium. Its description in RNAcentral is "bacterial SSU rRNA". It matches the Rfam family "Bacterial small subunit ribosomal RNA", at positions 333 to 655 of the family's 1533-position model. The record is from RNAcentral.